This 27-nucleotide ribosomal RNA is filed under the name uncultured Helotiales. RNAcentral's name for it is "partial 28S ribosomal RNA". The record is from RNAcentral. Lineage: Eukaryota; Fungi; Ascomycota; Leotiomycetes; Helotiales.
UGACCUCGAUCAGGUAGUCCCAGUUCG